Molecule: long non-coding RNA, 9111 nt
Filed under: Gossypium barbadense (sea-island cotton)
Lineage: Eukaryota; Viridiplantae; Streptophyta; Magnoliopsida; Malvales; Malvaceae
Description: long non-coding RNA (GBAR_LNC013687)
Source: RNAcentral
AGACUGCCCUGACCUCUAGUCACUAAAAAUAAGUUUUCUCACUAUAGGAUUUUCAUAUGAAGUUCUUACUUGUUUCUAUAGAAAAUAGACUCAUUAAGGAAUCUAAGCAUGUAAAUUUCAACUCAUAACCAUUUUUGUACAAUUUGUAAUUAUUUUCUAAACUCAGAACAGGGGACUCCAAAAACAGUUCUGACCCUAUCUUACUAAAAUUCACAUAUCUUAAAAUAUAAAUUUCUUUUCUCUACACCGUUAUUUUUUCAUGAAAAUAGACUCAACAAGCUUUAAUUCCAUAUAUCAUUCACCCUCUAAUUCAUUUUAUACUAUCUUGGGUGAUUUUUCAAAUUCACGUCACUAUUGCUGCCUGAAUUCUGUUUCUUUGCAAAAUUUUACCAUUUUAUGACUUUCAUACCUAAUUUAUCACUUAGACUUUUAUAACAAUAAUUAACUUCAUCCUUGACCAUUUAAACAACCAUUCAUCAUCAAAUACUUACACAUCAUUCUAUAGUAAAAUCAUAUUUACAAAUAUACAAAAUUACUAAAUUCCUAUACAUGCCAUAACUAAAAGAAAUGUUCACCACCACAAUUAGCUCAAAAUCGGCUUUGGAUGCUGAUUCAACAAUCCGACUUUGACCUAACCUGCGCACGGAAACAACCGUACGCUGAGUAUGGAAAUACUCAGUGGUAUUACCAUAAUUCGAAUUAAUAACAUUAAUCGAUAAAUUAUAUACAUUUUAUUUAUGUCUACAAUUAUUCAUUAAUUAUCUCAUGCAUUAAAUCAACUUGAUAAUUAAUAACAAUAAGCUAAAAUUCAAAUCUUGUAUUUAAUUGUAUUCAUACCUUAUUUCACUAUCUCAAUUCCAUUGGAUUUUUCUUUACAUCUCAUUCCAAUAGUUCAUUUCAAUUCAUAUACAAUUCAUUUCAUUUAAUUUAUAUUCAAUAUAAAUUUUAUUGCAAUUUGUACUCACUAAUAUCAUAUAACAAAAUUUACUCUUUAUCACAUCAUGAACUUUGGGCUCAUAUCUUUAAAUCUCUUAUUUCGAUUUCCAAUUCACACAUUAAUUCACAACUUCACUUUUUCGUUUCUUCCCAUAGCUCAAUCAAUCACAUUUAUUCAAUUUUCUCAUUUCAAUUAUUUACCCCUAUUAACAAGACUCGGACCUUGGCGGAUACACGGAUCCAACCAAACACACCAAAAUGGCACCCAGUGCCUCAUCGGAUAGUUCGAAGCAAUAGUUGACACCCAGUGUCUCAUCGGCCCAGCCGAAGUAAAGUUGGUACCCAGUACCUCAUCGAAUCUAUCCGAAGAAAUAUAGUGACACCCAGUGUCUCAUCGACUCAAGGUCGAAGUAUCCCUGAACUCUUCCAAUCCUAUGGCAUGCCAACUAUAUCCGACUCAGCCCGACUAGUUAAUAGGGUUUCCGAAUCACAUUUCAAUUCAAUCACUUUCUCAUACUUUCAAUUCAAAUCAUUCCCAUUUAAUCACCAUUUGUUUCAAUACAUUUUUCUAUUUCAAAUUCACUUUCGAUUUAAUCGCAAUUCAACUCAGAUUCACUUCCCACUUUCAAAUCAAUAUACAAUUCAAUACCAAUACAUAUUUCAGAUAUUCACAUAUAAUCAUACUUCGAUUCAAUUCAAACCACUUUUCAAUCAAUACACAAUUCACAUAUUCACAUAUCUCAAUUUAAUAUCUCAUUUAUUCAAUUCAUAUUUUAAUUCAUUCAAUUAAAUAUUGAUAUUCUCCUUAUUUUUAUUUACUAACAUAUUAUUCAAAAUUCAAUAAUUACUGUCAAUAAAUUCAAUAUCAAUACGUAUAUAUAUUAUUCAAUUCAAUUAUGAAACUCACCUCAAUUUGCUUAUCGUGUAUAUUAAUUUAAUUUUCAACGAUUAAUAAUUAAAUUCGAAUUAUAGUAAUACUAACCGUAAUUUCUCUCGAGUCACUCCUUGUCCACUUUCUCCUUUCCUUUCUCGGACAAUGACUCGUACACGACAUUAGCUACGUAAUUAAACAAUUAAAAAUCAUUAAUACACAAUUUCAUUAAAAUAUUUCCUUUUAUACCUAAACUUUACCCAAAUUCUAAUUUAAUCCCUUACCAAUACUAAUUUUAUUUUUCCCAAUCUAACUUUAUAUUCUUUCUUAAUUCUUACUAAACUCAUAUUUAACUAUUUAAUUUUUAUCAUGUUUUCAUAAUUCCGAAUUUAUUUCAAAUUAAUCCCUAAAAUUCAAAACUUAUAGUUUAGUUUACAAUUCAAUCCUUUAUUCAAUUCCAAUCAAAAUUUCUAUCAAAUACAUCCCUAAUUUAACAAUUUAUUCAACAUGAACCAUGCUUAAUAAUCUACUAACUUUCAAAAUUUCAACUUAAAUCAAGUAGUAUUUUAUUCUAGGAUUUCAAAAAAAAUAUCAAAAUUAAGAGAAAAGGGGAUUAAAUUGACUUACCAAAUUACUUUGAACCUUAAAACCCCAAAUUUCCCUUUUUCUUUUCUUUUCUUUCUUUCUUUCCUUCCUUCCUUCUCUGUUUCGUUUUGCUCUCUGUUUCUUUCUUUCUCCCUUCUCUGUUUUGUUUUGCUCUCUGUUUCUUUUCUUUCUUUCUUUGUCAUAUAUAUAUAUAUAUAAUAUAAUAUAAUAUAAAAUAUUAAUAAUAAUCAUUACUUACAUAUAUAUAUAUAUAUUAACUAGAAUAUCUCAGAUAUUUCUUUCAUUAUGCCGCCUCAACUUUAGAAAAAGGCAUAAUUGCCUAUUUGGUCCUUUUAACUUUUCUUUAAUCUAUAAUUAAACUUUUAUCCCUAUUGCAAUUUAAUCCUUUUUCAUAAUUAACUAUCGAAACAUUAAAAUUUCUUAACGAAACUUUAAUAUUAUCCUAUUGACACUUCGUAAAUAUUUAUAAAAAUAUUUACGGCUCAGUUUAUAAUAUCGAGGUCUCGAUACCUCGUUUUCGACCCAAUUUACCUAAUAAUUUCUUUUAAAUCACAAAAUUCACUGAUUUAAAAAUAUUUCUAAAAUCACACUUAACUUAUAAUUAUUAAUUAAUAAAUUUUUCUAACUUUUUCAUCAAUUUUAGUGAUCUCAAAUCACUAUUCUGACACUACUAAAAAUUGGGCUGUUACAACUCUUCCCCCUAAAAAAAUUUCGUCCUCGAAAUUUCUCACCUGAUACAGGCUAUUAAGUCAAAUCUUUCUUCCACCCUUUCAAUCGAAGUCCAUAAAAAUUAAUCAUAACUCAUAUCACUUCCGAAAUCAUAUCAGAACUCAUUUUAGAACUUGAUACUAUGCCUGAACUUAACUGAGUAACUCUGAUGUUCUCUUGCCAUCACUUUUUCACUAGUAGUAUGACUACUAAGAAAUUUCCAGUAAUUGUCUGUCGAAACAUAACUGAGAAACUCGAAUUAUCUUAUUUAAUACCUUUGAACGAAGAUCUUGGAAACCCAUCCAGCGAUAAGAAAACAGAUAAUUUAAACCCAUUGUGGAGACCCAAGAUGUACUGAUUCCAUCACUGAUUAUAACUCAAUUAACUUUUCAAUGAAUAACCCACUCUGAUUAAAACAACUGAGUCGAUUUUAUCUAUCAGAUAAUAACAUUUCAGAAUAAUCCAUUCUUCUUGUUGUCAAAACAAUUUAGAUAUACCAUAUAUCAUAAUCCUCUCAGAACACCAACCGAAAAUUACCACAAAUAGCAUUUAACUCAAACGAAUUUUGACAUUCCAUUAUUGACUUGUUGACAUAAUUCAGAAUUACCUGAGAAAUGAAAACCAAAAUACAAGUUUGAGCUCAAUCUUCCUCCAUCUAUACUUUUGCCGAUGUCAACCCUUUCACGAAAACUAGAAAGGAAUUAUAUAUAAUAAAAAUAUUUCAAUCAUUAACAUCGAAGCUUUGAACUAUACCGAAGCCACAACUAUCAGAUAGAUUAAAAACCAUAAUGCCAUAAUAGAACUGACGUUCCAACCGUAUAGAUAGAACAAUACUUCAACAUCAAUAAUGCACUCCAAAAUAGAUGAAAAAGACCGAAGUAGUCCCAAUAACAACCAGUGCAGUAAUACAACUUCUAUAAUCUGAAAUCCAUAUCACCGGGUUCCCAUGAUCAAACCAAGAUUUAUAACAGUAAUAAAUAUAAUUACCUCUGGCCAACGAAUAUCUUGUACGGAUGAACCAUGGUUAAUAAAUAAGAUUAGACCAUAAGAAUAAUAAGAAAACCGAGAUAAUAGAAUCUAAGAUGUGAAGCUAUACUAAAUUUCCGAGAAGAAAAACCACAUUGAAUGAUAAAGAGAUCGAUGAUAUCCCAGAGAAAAUCCAAAAGAAUAUCCCAGAGAAAAUCCAAAAGAAGAAUAUCACUUGUACGUACUAGGAAUAAUUGUGAUAAAGACAAUAUAAAUUCCAUAUAUAUAAUUCGGAGCUUCAACCAGUAGAAAUAGAAAAUAGCUUCAUAUGAGUCUUAUCAUCAAAUCUUCCAUCGAACUUAAUAGAUUAGAAAACCAAAGAAAGAUAGAGGAAUCCCGAUCAUGAAUCAACCAGACUAAUAAUAAUUCUGUCUAACAAUAUGAUUAGCCAACCUUGCUAUAUGAUAAGAAUCAUAUCUGAAAAUAAAUAAUUGCAUAUACCUCUGAGGAUAAAAGAGCAUAUAGAAUACCCAUAUAGAAUACCCAGAAGAAAUCGUUGUAAGAUACCCGACUAUAACAACUGCAUUCAGAUAUGGUUGCAAUUUUCAACACAAUCCCACUGAUUACUAAAGUCAUCAAUAAUCUCGCAUUAUCCCAAUCAUUAAAGAAAUCAAUUCAGAAGAAAUUCCGAUUAACCUGCUCUUUAAAUUUUAUACCUGAGUAAGUCGAUUACUCGUGAAUAGCUUCUUCCUUAAUAGCGACAUUGCAAAUCCCAAUAAUCAUUUUAAAAAAAAUCUAAUAUCCUUUUUAGAACUCUCUUUACUUGCUAUCCCAUCCACAAUUCUGACUGCAUUAUUAUUCCUUCAAUUAUUGAACUCUUCAAUUACACACUUGUAAACUUAAUGAAUACAAUUCUUGUAAAUUCCUUUGUACAGGUGAGGGGGUGAAGGUCGUAAAGCCUCAAAAUUUGACUCUCAUAUAUAUAUAUACACAUAACAUGACUUUUAUCGUCAAUAUAUUCAUUACAAACAUUCAUUCCAUACCUUAUAACUCUUUACUCAUAUAGGCAACUCCCCUUUCUCUAUCAAAUACUCAAAUAUCAUUUUCAUCACUGUCGGAACUAGAUCAAUUGGAGACAUUUUUGUCUAUUAGUAAAACAUUUCUCAUUUAUCAAGGUUACUCUUUUAAAUGUAUAAAUGUAUAUUUUCAUCCUUAUCUAUAAGGAUUACUAUUUUAAAUCUCCAUACAGAACUAAAUAACAUUUACUUAUUCACAACUUUAAAUUAUUUUAUUACAAAUACAUACUUCUUUAUUCACAGCUUUGUAACUUAUUUUUCCUUUAUAAUCAUUCAUCAUUGAAUCAAAGAUAAUCUUUUAUCUUGUAACAUUUUUUUUUAGCAGAGGCCCAGUAGACGAAACAGAAUACUUAGGAUAUACGGGACUGUACAGAGAGCACAAAUGUGCUAAACGGAGAGCACUAACGUGCUAGUGAUCAGAGAGCGUGCUAAUAUUCAGAGAGCACUGACGUGCUAAAUAUCAGAGAGCACCGAUGUGCUAAACAGAGAGCACUGAUGUGCUAAUAAUCAGAGAGCACGCUAAACUCCCUUAAUAUCCUAAUAGUUCUAACCUCGUCUACUUGGGCAAAUUAUUUCAUUCAUGCAUGCAUAUCACUUUUACACUUUUCGCACAAUACUUUUACAUGCUUUACAAUUUAAUUCUUGUACCAAUAAUUUGUGCAUUUAUAUCUUCUCUAUCUUUAGCACAUGUAAUAUAUUUCAAAAUUUACUAUUCAUCCAUAAUUCCUUAAUAAUCCUUAUCAUCUACUUCAUAUAUUACUUUUGUAUUUUUUUUAUAAUUUAGUUAUCAAUUCAAUAGUUCGUAUAGCACUAUAAUUUAUUUUUCAAUGAAACAUAUAACGCAAUAUUCAUCAUCAUAUUCAUUCGACAUUUUCAACUCUAAAACAUAAGCAAAUAUAUCAGCAUCCAAAUCUCGACUCAAUUCGACACAAUUAUGGCAUGUACCUCUAAACUCAAUUCUGAGCUCGAUUUAGUCCGAGAAUCGACUAAACCUGCAAAGCUCUGAUACCACCAAAAUUGUAACACCCCUUACCCGAGACCGUUGCCGGAAUCGAGUACGAGGCAUACUUAGCUUAUCUUACUAAUUCGGGGCAUAAAAAUUCGUUUUAAAAAUUAAUUUCACUGUUUACAGUAAUCUGUCCAAUCGCGCAGCAGUUACUAAAUUGAUUAUAACUCGAGCUACGGAACUCCAAAUUUAAUUUCGUAAAUUUUCCCUGAAACUAGACUCAUAUAUAUACUCACCAUAAAAUUUUUAGAAUUUUUGGUUCAGCAAAUUAGUACAGUUUAUUAGUUAAAGUCUCCCCUGUGUCACCACCAGACUGCCCUGACCUCUAGUCACUAAAAAUAAGUUUUCUCACUAUAGGAUUUUCAUAUGAAGUUCUUACUUGUUUCUAUAGAAAAUAGACUCAUUAAGGAAUCUAAGCAUGUAAAUUUCAACUCAUAACCAUUUUUGUACAAUUUGUAAUUAUUUUCUAAACUCAGAACAGGGGACUCCAAAAACAGUUCUGACCCUAUCUUACUAAAAUUCACAUAUCUUAAAAUAUAAAUUUCUUUUCUCUACACCGUUAUUUUUUCAUGAAAAUAGACUCAACAAGCUUUAAUUCCAUAUAUCAUUCACCCUCUAAUUCAUUUUAUACUAUCUUGGGUGAUUUUUCAAAUUCACGUCACUAUUGCUGCCUGAAUUCUGUUUCUUUGCAAAAUUUUACCAUUUUAUGACUUUCAUACCUAAUUUAUCACUUAGACUUUUAUAACAAUAAUUAACUUCAUCCUUGACCAUUUAAACAACCAUUCAUCAUCAAAUACUUACACAUCAUUCUAUAGUAAAAUCAUAUUUACAAAUAUACAAAAUUACUAAAUUCCUAUACAUGCCAUAACUAAAAGAAAUGUUCACCACCACAAUUAGCUCAAAAUCGGCUUUGGAUGCUGAUUCAACAAUCCGACUUUGACCUAACCUGCGCACGGAAACAACCGUACGCUGAGUAUGGAAAUACUCAGUGGUAUUACCAUAAUUCGAAUUAAUAACAUUAAUCGAUAAAUUAUAUACAUUUUAUUUAUGUCUACAAUUAUUCAUUAAUUAUCUCAUGCAUUAAAUCAACUUGAUAAUUAAUAACAAUAAGCUAAAAUUCAAAUCUUGUAUUUAAUUGUAUUCAUACCUUAUUUCACUAUCUCAAUUCCAUUGGAUUUUUCUUUACAUCUCAUUCCAAUAGUUCAUUUCAAUUCAUAUACAAUUCAUUUCAUUUAAUUUAUAUUCAAUAUAAAUUUUAUUGCAAUUUGUACUCACUAAUAUCAUAUAACAAAAUUUACUCUUUAUCACAUCAUGAACUUUGGGCUCAUAUCUUUAAAUCUCUUAUUUCGAUUUCCAAUUCACACAUCAAUUCACAACUUCACUUUUUCGUUUCUUCCCAUAGCUCAAUCAAUCACAUUUAUUCAAUUUUCUCAUUUCAAUUAUUUACCCCUAUUAACAAGACUCGGACCUUGGCGGAUACACGGAUCCAACCAAACACACCAAAAUGGCACCCAGUGCCUCAUCGGAUAGUUCGAAGCAAUAGUUGACACCCAGUGUCUCAUCGGCCCAGCCGAAGUAAAGUUGGUACCCAGUACCUCAUCGAAUCUAUCCGAAGAAAUAUAGUGACACCCAGUGUCUCAUCGACUCAAGGUCGAAGUAUCCCUGAACUCUUCCAAUCCUAUGGCAUGCCAACUAUAUCCGACUCAGCCCGACUAGUUAAUAGGGUUUCCGAAUCACAUUUCAAUUCAAUCACUUUCUCAUACUUUCAAUUCAAAUCAUUCCCAUUUAAUCACCAUUUGUUUCAAUACAUUUUUCUAUUUCAAAUUCACUUUCGAUUUAAUCGCAAUUCAACUCAGAUUCACUUCCCACUUUCAAAUCAAUAUACAAUUCAAUACCAAUACAUAUUUCAGAUAUUCACAUAUAAUCAUACUUCGAUUCAAUUCAAACCACUUUUCAAUCAAUACACAAUUCACAUAUUCACAUAUCUCAAUUUAAUAUCUCAUUUAUUCAAUUCAUAUUUUAAUUCAUUCAAUUAAAUAUUGAUAUUCUCCUUAUUUUUAUUUACUAACAUAUUAUUCAAAAUUCAAUAAUUACUGUCAAUAAAUUCAAUAUCAAUACGUAUAUAUAUUAUUCAAUUCAAUUAUGAAACUCACCUCAAUUUGCUUAUCGUGUAUAUUAAUUUAAUUUUCAACGAUUAAUAAUUAAAUUCGAAUUAUAGUAAUACUAACCGUAAUUUCUCUCGAGUCACUCCUUGUCCACUUUCUCCUUUCCUUUCUCAGACAAUGACUCGUACACGACAUUAGCUACGUAAUUAAACAAUUAAAAAUCAUUAAUACACAAUUUCAUUAAAAUAUUUCCUUUUAUACCUAAACUUUACCCAAAUUCUAAUUUAAUCCCUUACCAAUACUAAUUUUAUUUUUCCCAAUCUAACUCUAUAUUCUUUCUUAAUUCUUACUAAACUCAUAUUUAACUAUUUAAUUUUUAUCAUGUUUUCAUAAUUCCGAAUUUAUUUCAAAUUAAUCCCUAAAAUUCAAAACUUAUAGUUUAGUUUACAAUUCAAUCCUUUAUUCAAUUCCAAUCAAAAUUUCUAUCAAAUACAUCCCUAAUUUAACAAUUUAUUCAACAUGAACCAUGCUUAAUAAUCUACUAACUUUCAAAAUUUCAACUUAAAUCAAGUAGUAUUUUAUUCUAGGAUUUCAAAAAAAAUAUCAAAAUUAAGAGAAAAGGGGAUUAAAUUGACUUACCAAAUUACUUUGAACCUUAAAACCCCAAAUUUCCCUUUUUCUUUUCUUUUCUUUCUUUCUUUCCUUCCUUCCUUCUCUGUUUCGUUUUGCUCUCUGUUUCUUUCUUUCUCCCUUCUCUGUUUUGUUUUGCUCUUUGUUUCUUUUCUUUCUUUCUUUGUCAUAUAUAUAUAUAUAUAAUAUAAUAUAAUAUAAAAUAAU